This 75-nucleotide transfer RNA is filed under the name Chloroflexota bacterium. RNAcentral's name for it is "Chloroflexi bacterium tRNA-Asp". It matches the Rfam family "tRNA". Rfam says of the family: Transfer RNA (tRNA) molecules are approximately 80 nucleotides in length. The record is from RNAcentral. Lineage: Bacteria; Bacillati; Chloroflexota.
GGUCCCGUGGUGUAGUUGGUUCAACAUGCCGCCCUGUCAAGGCGGAGAUCGCGGGUUCAAGUCCCGUCGGGACCG